Molecule: ribosomal RNA, 328 nt
Filed under: uncultured bacterium
Lineage: Bacteria
Description: bacterial SSU rRNA
Rfam family: Bacterial small subunit ribosomal RNA
Source: RNAcentral
GCACUGUAGUCAGAGUUUGAUCCUGGCUCAGGAUGAACGCUGACAGAAUGCUUAACACAUGCAAGUCGACUCGAGUCUUCGGACUUGGGUGGCGCACGGGUGCGUAACGCGUAUGUAACCUGCCUGUCAGAAGGGAAUAACCCGGUGAAAGUCGGACUAAUACCCUAUAUGCUCACGAGAGGCUCCUGCCUUGGUGAGGAAAGAUUUAUCACUGACAGAUGGACAUGCGUCCCAUUAGCUGGUUGGUAGGGUAACGGCCUACCAAGGCAACGAUGGGUAGGGGAACUGAGAGGUUUAUCCCCCACAUUGGUACUGAGACACGGACCAA